This is a long non-coding RNA of Mastomys coucha (southern multimammate mouse), 1582 nucleotides long. RefSeq lists it as uncharacterized. The transcript is spliced from 3 exons. NCBI's taxonomy places the organism in Eukaryota, Metazoa, Chordata, Mammalia, Rodentia, Muridae. The record is from RefSeq and is a predicted model, not a curated record.
UGUCAGGAGAGCCAGGCCGGGCCGGUUCCCCGCCCCUCGGCCCGCCGCCUCCGCCGCCGGGCGCGCCCUCAGCCCCGCGGCUGCAGCCUGCUGGGCCGGGCGGGCCGCCGACCACCGCCCGGGCGGGCCGCGGGCCGGAGCGGGACCCCGGAUAGGCGGGCCGCCGCCUGAGGCCUGCCGCCAGGAGGCCCUCUGCUCGUCGAAACCGGAGGCCCGGCGGGCCGCAAGCGGCCGGGAGACCCCCGGGCCGACCCAGGCUGGGCCGCAGCCCCCACUCAGCGCUGACCUACACCGGCAGCCGGGACAAAGGAGGGAGCCACGGGCUGGGCCUGUGCGGCUGCGGGAGAAGGUCCUAGAGAAAACCUUGAAGGCAGGCGGAGAGCAAAAGACCAAGAUGCCUCACAUCUAAGGCCACACGGCUCCAAAACCAAGACAAGGGCAAGACCCAGCCAGGACUGAUAUGUGAGGCCGAAGGGAACGGUACGACCACAAAGAAGCCCGGGAACAAAGGCUUGUCCAGAAACAGGCGAAACUGAAGUGGAAGCGAGGGGGGACAGAGCCAUCACCAUAAAGUAAACCAGGCCAAGGAGCAGAGCCUGAGAAAUGACAACUGAGAGAGCGAUGAAAACAGGAUUCGGACUGCACAUGGGGGGAGGGCAUAAAUCCAGAGGGGGGAGAGACCCAAUAGGAUUACCAAACUGUGACAGCCCUCUCAACAGAGCGACUUAGAUCAAAAGGGAGAAAUGUGGGAACCUGAGGCUGCACCAGGACUGUGAGGGAACAAAGAAAGGGUUUCUGGAGCAAAACUGGUUAGGGCAAUGCGAGGGAAGCCAGUAGCCAAUUAUUCUCAGCCCUAGAGAAAGAAGAAAGGAGACGUAAAUAUGAGCAGGGAUUUACUUAGGACCAUUUUGUAAAAGGGUUCCCAGCGUCAUCGGGUUCUCUAUUCAGUUGUAUAUCUUUCAGUCCCAGUAGUCAUGGGUUGACGAUAACCAAAAGUAGUGAAUGAGGAAUUCCAAGAUGGUAGCUCACACCUGUAAUCCUAGCCCUCAGGAGGCUGAAGCAGAUUUGCUACAAAUUCUAGGCCUGUCUGGGCCUCACAGUAAGACUGUUUCAAGCAAACACAAUGAUACUUUUAGCCCACUUCUGGCCCAUUCAACAGUCGCCGGCUGUGCAAGAAUCUAAGUUAUUGCCAAACCAUACAAUGCAGAAGCUCUGAGGCUUUCAGUGGGCCUGGUGUUGAAUUGCUGGUUUGCCUUGGAAGAUUCACACAGCACGACGGAGUUGGGAGGACAUCUAGUGGCAGAGAUCUCAAAGAAUACAACAUUUUGGGGCUGGAGAGAUGACUCAGAGAUUAAGAACACUGACUGCUCUUUAGAUGUCCUGAGUUCAAUCCCCAGGAUCCACAUGUGGCUCACAACCAUCUGUAAUGGGAUCUGAUUCCCUCUUCUGGUAUGUGUGAAGACAGGUCAUAUAUAUAUGACACAAGAAGGAUGUUUGCUUUGGCAGGACAUAUACUACAACUGGAACAAUAUAGAGAAGAUUAGCAUGUCUCCUGUGCAAGGAUGACAUGCAAAUUAAUGAA